This 77-nucleotide transfer RNA is filed under the name Candidatus Thorarchaeota archaeon. RNAcentral describes it as "tRNA-Arg". It matches the Rfam family "tRNA". From Rfam's summary of the family: Transfer RNA (tRNA) molecules are approximately 80 nucleotides in length. Their secondary structure includes four short double-helical elements and three loops (D, anti-codon, and T loops). Lineage: Archaea; Promethearchaeati; Candidatus Thorarchaeota. The record is from RNAcentral.
GCGCCCGUAGUUCAGCGGAUUAGAACGCAACGCUACGAACGUUGAGGUCGGGGGUUCGAUCCCCUCCGGGCGUGCCA